Leptonychotes weddellii (Weddell seal) is the source of this 1538-nucleotide non-coding RNA. The record is from RefSeq and is a predicted model, not a curated record. NCBI's taxonomy places the organism in Eukaryota, Metazoa, Chordata, Mammalia, Carnivora, Phocidae.
AAAGAAGGGGGUGAGGGGGUGGGUGGGUGCGAGAGAGGAGGGUGGAGGGGAGUUUCACAAGCGAACCCCAAGUCCAGGAACCCCCCCCACCCUUCAGCCUCCAGACACCUGUUACUCCCCGGGGUCCCGGAGUCUCCUCCGAGAGGAGUCAGAAAACUUCUAACUUGCCAUGAUCGCCACCAUUAGGCCAUAUAAGAUAUGCAAAUUAGCGGGGAGGGCCCGGCUUUCGGCAAGAUGCAAAUGGUCGUGGGGAGGGGGGGAAAAGCGAGAGAGGGAGAGCAUGAGGGGCAGACGUGGAGAGCUGGAGACCCUGGCCGGGAGCAGGGCUUGCCAGGGUCCAUUGUACUCACGCUGGGGGGCUGAAGACCUUCUUGUACUGGUUCUGCUUAUCAGCCAAACUUUAGCUGACCUUUGGACUUGCUCCAGGACACAGCGGUUCCCCGGGCCAAGAGCGGCGCUCCUCGGACAGACGCGAGGCCACCGCGGCAGUGGCGGGAGGGAGCCGACGCCCACGAAGCCGCUGAGGGAGUGGAGAUUUUUACCACCUUGGCCUGGGUCAGGAAGGAAGCUCGAACCUUUCAGUUCUACGGGAGUUUCACCUGCAUCUCCCUGGGUCACGAGAGGGAAGGAAGGAGGCCUGAGGCGCCCCUGGACCUACAGGCUGGCCCAGACCUGCAGAAGAACAGGGCAAGGAGCUUUUUAGGAUCCACCGUUCGUGGACCCAUAGCUCCUGGGGCAGAGGACCCCCGACUCUCUCUAAGCCUCAGUUUCCUCAUCGGUGAAAUGCUGACGCCAACAGUGCAGGGGGAGGGGCGUUGUCUCCAUUGAAUGAGACCACCUGUGAAACCUUGGCUUAAUAAUUGGUGUUCACACUUUCCAGUCUGGGAAGGGGAGGAAGCCAGUUCCCAGUAGAAAAAUCUAAUCCCUGCAGGCCAUAGCUUCUCAGAAUCAGGCAGAUCCCGAGCUGGGCUUGGAGGGACUGGGAGAUUAGGGACAAAAAUUCAGAAUCAGCAGGGAAUUUGCAAAGGAGCUUCUAACCAAAUUCUCCUACCAUUCCCACCUUUAAAAGACAAUUAGGAGGAAGUUGGGGCUAGUUCUGGGAAAAGAGGAAUUUCAGCAAGGGGGAGGAAGGGUCAGCAGCCCUCAUCUGCUUGGUUCUGGAUCAAAUCUAGGUGUGUGAGAGCAGAAGCUCCAGGUGGGACUGAUCCAAGUUUGGCUGCUAAGGAGUGCCCCUUUUAAAGGCCGGGUCUGCUGUGAUCCUGCCUGGGACAUGUGCUGGGAACCAGAAGGAAGGGGGCGAUUAUGCCCAUGGAGCCUUGAGGGAGGUUUACACUACCUCAGGCUCUUUCCUUAAGAAAGGGGAAAGAAGUUCAUGGAAAGGAGGGCCCUUCAUUUCACCCUAUUGUCUUUUAGUUUGUUGUGACAUAUGGCAGGUCCUUGCCCCUCACAAUUCAGCCCAUGGGAGAACAUUCUCUGCCUACCAAGCUCCCCUCAACCAGGAUAAUGAAGUGUUCAGAGUAAAUGUCCCUGGAGAACAA